Molecule: small nuclear RNA, 92 nt
Filed under: Cricetulus griseus (Chinese hamster)
Lineage: Eukaryota; Metazoa; Chordata; Mammalia; Rodentia; Cricetidae
Description: 7SK RNA
Rfam family: 7SK RNA
About the family: 7SK was discovered as an abundant small nuclear RNA in the mid-70s but a possible function has only recently been suggested. Two independent studies have found that 7SK RNA binds the CDK9/cyclin T complex (known as elongation factor P-TEFb).
Source: Rfam by way of RNAcentral
GUAUGAGGGUGAUCUGCCUGCCACCCUACUAACUGCAGGGGUUGACCCAGCUGAUCUGGCUGGCAAGACAGGUAUCCUCUUCCUCCAUCCCU